UACGGAGGAUCCGAGCGUUAUCCGGAUUUAUUGGGUUUAAAGGGUGCGUAGGUGGAUUGGUAAGUCAGUGGUGAAAGUUUGCAGCUUAACUGUAAAAUUGCCGUUGAAACUGCCGGUCUUGAGUGCAAAUGAGGUAGCGGAAUGCGUCGUGUAGCGGUGAAAUGCUUAGAUAUGACGCAGAACUCCGAUUGCGAAGGCAGCUUACUGGGAUGCAACUGACGCUGAGGCACGAAAGCGUGGGUAUCAAACAGAAUUAGAUA
Molecule: ribosomal RNA, 260 nt
Filed under: uncultured prokaryote
Description: partial 16S ribosomal RNA
Rfam family: Bacterial small subunit ribosomal RNA
Source: RNAcentral